Molecule: ribosomal RNA, 465 nt
Filed under: uncultured bacterium
Lineage: Bacteria
Description: partial 16S ribosomal RNA
Rfam family: Bacterial small subunit ribosomal RNA
Source: RNAcentral
GAUGAACGCUGGCGGCGUGCUUAACACAUGCAAGUCGAACGGAAAGGCCCAAGCUUGCUUGGGUACUCGAGUGGCGAACGGGUGAGUAACACGUGGGUGAUCUGCCCUGCACUUCGGGAUAAGCCUGGGAAACUGGGUCUAAUACCGGAUAGGACCACAUUUUGGAUGGUGUGGUGGAAAGUUUUUCGGUGUGGGAUGAGCUCGCGGCCUAUCAGCUUGUUGGUGGGGUAAUGGCCUACCAAGGCGUCGACGGGUAGCCGGCCUGAGAGGGUGUACGGCCACAUUGGGACUGAGAUACGGCCCAGACUCCUACGGGAGGCAGCGGUGGGGAAUAUUGCACAAUGGGCGCAAGCCUGAUGCAGCGACGCCGCGUGGGGGAUGACAGCCUUCGGGUUGUAAACUCCUUUCGCUAGGGACGAAGCGUUAUGUGACGGUACCUGGAGAAGAAGCACCGGCUAACUACGU